RNAcentral lists this ribosomal RNA (643 nucleotides) under uncultured bacterium. RNAcentral's name for it is "bacterial SSU rRNA". It matches the Rfam family "Bacterial small subunit ribosomal RNA", at positions 144 to 803 of the family's 1533-position model. The record is from RNAcentral.
CAACAGUUGGAAACGACUGCUAAUACCGCAUAAGCCCACGGGUCGGCAUCGACCAGAGGGAAAAGGAGCAAUCCGCUGUGAGAUGGCCUCGCGUCCGAUUAGCUAGUUGGUGAGGUAACGGCCCACCAAGGCGACGAUCGGUAGCCGGACUGAGAGGUUGAACGGCCACAUUGGGACUGAGACACGGCCCAGACUCCUACGGGAGGCAGCAGUGGGGAAUAUUGCACAAUGGGGGAAACCCUGAUGCAGCGACGCCGCGUGGAGGAAGAAGGUCUUCGGAUUGUAAACUCCUGUUGUUGGGGAAGAUAAUGACGGUACCCAACAAGGAAGUGACGGCUAACUACGUGCCAGCAGCCGCGGUAAAACGUAGGUCACAAGCGUUGUCCGGAAUUACUGGGUGUAAAGGGAGCGCAGGCGGGAAGACAAGUUGGAAGUGAAAUCUAUGGGCUCAACCCAUAAACUGCUUUCAAAACUGUUUUUCUUGAGUAGUGCAGAGGUAGGCGGAAUUCCCGGUGUAGCGGUGGAAUGCGUAGAUAUCGGGAGGAACACCAGUGGCGAAGGCGGCCUACUGGGCACCAACUGACGCUGAGGCUCGAAAGUGUGGGUAGCAAACAGGAUUAGAUACCCUGGUAGUCCACACCGU